UACAGAGGUGGCAAGCGUUGUUCGGAUUUACUGGGCGUAAAGGGUGCGUAGGUGGUUACUUAUGUCGGGUGUGAAAGCCCAAGGCUCAACCUUGGAAUGGCGCUCGAAACUAAGUGACUAGAGUGCAGGAGGGGAGAGCGGAAUUCUUGGUGUAGCGGUGAAAUGCGUUGAUAUCAAGAAGAACACCGGUGGCGAAGGCGGCUCUCUGGAAUGCUACUGACACUGAGGCACGAGAGUUGGGGGAGCAAACAGG
RNAcentral lists this ribosomal RNA (253 nucleotides) under uncultured bacterium. RNAcentral's name for it is "partial 16S ribosomal RNA". It matches the Rfam family "Bacterial small subunit ribosomal RNA", at positions 524 to 776 of the family's 1533-position model. The record is from RNAcentral.